AUGCGGGAGGAUGGGCAGGCAGUUGAUGAUGCCCUUUACGCACUAGCAAUGGAUCCUAAUACUCGGGUAAGACAUUAUGAAUCUUGCGUUGUUGGAGAUGUGCGCUACAACACCGUUGCACGCGACGAAGGCAGGAAGACACAAAACAGUGCCAUCAUGACCACGGAUACGUACGACAGAGAGACAACUGAAAUGUAUGCUAACAUAACAGAUAUUAUUGUCCAGUUGCAGUAUAUCUCCAGUUUCGAGGAUCAUCGGUGUGUGGUUCUGUUGUGCUGUCGUUGGUAUAACCUGUUUUUUAGGAUAGCAAAACCCAGAGCUGAUGAUUAUUUCAAAUAUCAAUGUCAAGGCGGCGUACCAGACCAACGAGCCUUUUAUUUGGCAAAUCAAGCAACACAGAUAUUUUUCUCUCUCUCAUCAGAGUCCACCGUUAUCAUCUCUCUCUCUCAUCAGAGUGAGACAAACCUUGUUAUAGUAAACAAUCGUGAAUCCGUCAUGCUAAGACCCCACAGUACUAGCGAAUCAAAGCAACAACCAUUAUCGGUGAAGAGAGUCGUAGAUUGA
RNAcentral lists this ribosomal RNA (564 nucleotides) under Triticum aestivum (bread wheat). RNAcentral's name for it is "partial small subunit ribosomal RNA". Lineage: Eukaryota; Viridiplantae; Streptophyta; Magnoliopsida; Poales; Poaceae. The record is from RNAcentral.